GAUGAACGCUGGCGGCGUGCCUAAUACAUGCAAGUCGAGCGAACAGACGAGGAGCUUGCUCCUCUGACGUUAGCGGCGGACGGGUGAGUAACACGUGGAUAACCUACCUAUAAGACUGGGAUAACUUCGGGAAACCGGAGCUAAUACCGGAUAAUAUAUUGAACCGCAUGGUUCAAUAGUGAACGACGGUUUUGCUGUCACUUAUAGAUGUAUCCGCGCCGCAUUAGCUAGUUGGUAAGGUAACGGCUUACCAAGGCAACGAUGCGUAGCCGACCUGAGAGGGUGAUCGGCCACACUGGAACUGAGACACGGCCCAGACUCCUACGGGAGGCAGCAGUAGGGAAUCUUCCGCAAUGGGCGAAAGCCUGACGGAGCAACGCCGCGUGAGGGAUGAAGGUCUUCGGGUCGUAAAACGCUGUUAUUAGGGAAGAACAAAUGUGUAAGUAACUAUGCACGUCUUGACGGUACCGAAUCAGAAAGCCACGGCUAACUACGUG
RNAcentral lists this ribosomal RNA (497 nucleotides) under uncultured bacterium. Its description in RNAcentral is "partial 16S ribosomal RNA". It matches the Rfam family "Bacterial small subunit ribosomal RNA", at positions 28 to 507 of the family's 1533-position model. The record is from RNAcentral.